UCAUUUGGAGUGUUCCUGACGGUGUCCGC
RNAcentral lists this small RNA (29 nucleotides) under Bombyx mori (domestic silkworm). Its description in RNAcentral is "ovarian small RNA-26410". Lineage: Eukaryota; Metazoa; Arthropoda; Insecta; Lepidoptera; Bombycidae. The record is from RNAcentral.